GUUUUUGUGGUUGUUUGUAAUCGAAUAUAAUCAGAUGAUCAGAGUUUCUUCUCUGAAAAAGGAGCUUUUGUUUUCUGCUAUCUUGGUUAUAAUAAUUAAAAUCUUUUGUUUUUUUUUAGAUUAUUGGUUUUUUUUGGUUGUGGAUUUAAAUUCUGCUUUGUAGGGUUUUGGAAACUGAUGGAGCUUAUUUUGCUUGAUUGGAUCUCCGAUAGAUUUUCUUUUUUAGUUAUGUCUUAGAUGAUUUGUUUCGUUUUAAUUCACUGCCAGUUUUGUUUUUACCCUGAUAAUCUUUGGUGUUCUAUACCUAUUUGGACUUGUUCUUUGUCUCUCCUGGGCCAUCGCUUGAUCGUUUAGAAUUAGAUUGAGAAAUUGUUACUGGAUACUAUAAAAUGGGUUUGCUUUAUCUGAUAGUAAAUCGAAACUCUCCCUUUCUUUGUAUGCUUUUCCUAUGCCUGUUUGACUUUCAGUUUUCAUCUUGAAUGAACUGAGAAGAGCAUAGAUCUAUUUGCUUUACGUUUAUGGUUUGCCUGCAGGUUGAUCGUUUACUGAAAGACUGUCAGAAAUUGUCUGAUCUUCAUUGCCUAGCUGAGCACAGUUGUAAACCUGGUUUUGAAUUAAUAUUGUCGAGGUGUGAUUGAGAAGCCACUUAAGAGAUAUUUUGGAGGAACUUAUAUUGAUUCAUUUGUCUGGUAAGGCAUCAAGAAGGGUAAUACAGUGGCAGAAUCUGGAGGCAUGCCUGUAU
RNAcentral lists this unclassified non-coding RNA (742 nucleotides) under Hevea brasiliensis (rubber tree). The record is from RNAcentral. Lineage: Eukaryota; Viridiplantae; Streptophyta; Magnoliopsida; Malpighiales; Euphorbiaceae.